GCCGGUGUAGCUCAGCUGGUAGAGCAGCUGACUUGUAAUCAGCAGGUCCCCGGUUCGAGUCCGGGUGCCGGCU
Molecule: transfer RNA, 73 nt
Filed under: Aminivibrio pyruvatiphilus
Lineage: Bacteria; Thermotogati; Synergistota; Synergistia; Synergistales; Aminobacteriaceae
Also listed under: 1 other name
Description: Synergistaceae bacterium 4F6E tRNA
Rfam family: tRNA
About the family: Transfer RNA (tRNA) molecules are approximately 80 nucleotides in length. Their secondary structure includes four short double-helical elements and three loops (D, anti-codon, and T loops).
Source: Rfam by way of RNAcentral